CUAAACCAUUUUGUGUUUACAGGAACAAAGAAAAUAAGUAUUAUUGUGACAGCACAGAUUCAAGCACCCAGUACCACUUGCAUCUUAAGGACAGCAACGUCAAAUACGACAACUUCGGCAACCAUGAGAAGAACGCAAGCAACAAUGUGACUCCCAUGUAGCUGGAGAGAGAGAGAAAAGAGAACUCAAGAGUUUCAUGUUUACUGGCAGACGAGGUCGGAGGUCACACACAAACACAAGCUAGACCCUAACAGUGGCAUGAUUCUCAAUAAUAAUACAUGUCAUUUAGCAGAUUCGUGCAUACAACUAAAKAACUUUUCUUUUGCAAAUGGGUGGCCCCAGGAAUCAAACCCACUGUCCUGGCAUUGUAAGAGCCAUGCUCUACCAACUGAUCUACAGAGGACCACUCUGUCAAUCCAAUAAAAUGCGGACAAGUUUACUUUAAAAUGCAUUUUAAAAUGCACACAAAUUCAUAACAGUCCGUAACGUCAAUGUUAAAUAUCUGUCCCGAUAUUAUUUGUAGAAUUUGUGAAUAUUGUCAUUAUAUUACCUGCUUUUAUUAACGUAUUCAUGCUUUUGUUGUUGUAAUUUGAUAAUGUGUGAAAUAUUACAUGUCAGAAAAGAUCCAAGGAAAAGUGAAAUUAUUAAAUGCCUCAAGUGCC
This is a long non-coding RNA of Salvelinus sp. IW2-2015, 662 nucleotides long. RefSeq lists it as uncharacterized. The record is from RefSeq and is a predicted model, not a curated record. Lineage: Eukaryota; Metazoa; Chordata; Actinopteri; Salmoniformes; Salmonidae.